This 1359-nucleotide ribosomal RNA is filed under the name Flavobacterium sp. L307. RNAcentral's name for it is "bacterial SSU rRNA". It matches the Rfam family "Bacterial small subunit ribosomal RNA", at positions 61 to 1431 of the family's 1533-position model. Lineage: Bacteria; Pseudomonadati; Bacteroidota; Flavobacteriia; Flavobacteriales; Flavobacteriaceae. The record is from RNAcentral.
GUCGAACGAUGAUGCCCAGCUUGCUGGGUGGAUUAGUGGCGAACGGGUGAGUAACACGUGAGUAACCUGCCCCUGACUCUGGGAUAAGCGUUGGAAACGACGUCUAAUACUGGAUAUGACUGCCGGCCGCAUGGUCUGGUGGUGGAAAGAUUUUUUGGUUGGGGAUGGACUCGCGGCCUAUCAGCUUGUUGGUGAGGUAAUGGCUCACCAAGGCGACGACGGGUAGCCGGCCUGAGAGGGUGACCGGCCACACUGGGACUGAGACACGGCCCAGACUCCUACGGGAGGCAGCAGUGGGGAAUAUUGCACAAUGGGCGAAAGCCUGAUGCAGCAACGCCGCGUGAGGGAUGACGGCCUUCGGGUUGUAAACCUCUUUUAGUAGGGAAGAAGCGAAAGUGACGGUACCUGCAGAAAAAGCACCGGCUAACUACGUGCCAGCAGCCGCGGUAAUACGUAGGGUGCAAGCGUUGUCCGGAAUUAUUGGGCGUAAAGAGCUCGUAGGCGGUUUGUCGCGUCUGCUGUGAAAUCCCGAGGCUCAACCUCGGGCUUGCAGUGGGUACGGGCAGACUAGAGUGCGGUAGGGGAGAUUGGAAUUCCUGGUGUAGCGGUGGAAUGCGCAGAUAUCAGGAGGAACACCGAUGGCGAAGGCAGAUCUCUGGGCCGUAACUGACGCUGAGGAGCGAAAGCGUGGGGAGCGAACAGGAUUAGAUACCCUGGUAGUCCACGCCGUAAACGUUGGGCGCUAGAUGUAGGGACCUUUCCACGGUUUCUGUGUCGUAGCUAACGCAUUAAGCGCCCCGCCUGGGGAGUACGGCCGCAAGGCUAAAACUCAAAGGAAUUGACGGGGGCCCGCACAAGCGGCGGAGCAUGCGGAUUAAUUCGAUGCAACGCGAAGAACCUUACCAAGGCUUGACAUACACCGGAAACGGCCAGAGAUGGUCGCCCCCUUGUGGUCGGUGUACAGGUGGUGCAUGGUUGUCGUCAGCUCGUGUCGUGAGAUGUUGGGUUAAGUCCCGCAACGAGCGCAACCCUCGUUCUAUGUUGCCAGCGCGUUAUGGCGGGGACUCAUAGGAGACUGCCGGGGUCAACUCGGAGGAAGGUGGGGAUGACGUCAAAUCAUCAUGCCCCUUAUGUCUUGGGCUUCACGCAUGCUACAAUGGCCGGUACAAAGGGCUGCGAUACCGUAAGGUGGAGCGAAUCCCAAAAAGCCGGUCUCAGUUCGGAUUGAGGUCUGCAACUCGACCUCAUGAAGUCGGAGUCGCUAGUAAUCGCAGAUCAGCAACGCUGCGGUGAAUACGUUCCCGGGCCUUGUACACACCGCCCGUCAAGUCAUGAAAGUCGGUAACACCCGAAGCCGGU